RNAcentral lists this ribosomal RNA (477 nucleotides) under Triticum aestivum (bread wheat). RNAcentral describes it as "partial small subunit ribosomal RNA". Lineage: Eukaryota; Viridiplantae; Streptophyta; Magnoliopsida; Poales; Poaceae. The record is from RNAcentral.
AUGAGUCCCACGGCCAUUAAUCUGCUUCUUCUCAUGCUUGCCAUAGCCGCCCAUACCACCUUCCAUGGCCGGCCGCAGGUGAGCAGACCUCUACCGGAGUUGAAGCCACACAUCACCAUGGGGGCGGGGCGUCUUGCCUUGUGGAAGCGAGCUGAUGAUUGCCACCGCACACCGCCGGCGACCCCACGAGCUCAUGUCGUCCCUGCGUUUCUCGACUCUUUCGACAACCUGAGAUACUAUCAUAGUAACCUCUCCACGAUACUAUUUUCCGGUAGGGUGCUUCCUCUGCUUGGCAACCUCUCCAAGCUACACUACCUUCGCCUCUCGUCUAAGAGAAACGAUGACAACCUCCCAUAUGGACAUGGUGAUGCGCAUAUGGACUCCACACAAGAUGUCUCAUGGUCAUGUCGUCCCGGUGGACUUCUACUGGACUUGAAGACCUCUACUGGACUUGAAGACCCGGUGGAAGCUAGCUGA